GGUCUACAAAGAACUAAUAUAAUCAAAGAGUUUAAUAUUGUUCCGAACUCUUAUGGCCAAGUUAGUUUUCAUCUCAUGGAUCAGUUCCUGCGUUGUUCUGCAUUUUGAAUUAAAGAUUCUAGAGUUCCUCUCAUCCCACAAACCAUGGACCACGACCAUAGCCUCUUUUUCGAUCGCCGGUAGUGAGGUAUUCAUGUUAGGCCCCAUGAUCUGAGUAAUCUGUGUUUGGAUACUAUCAAGCUUCGCCCUAGCUUCCUGAACUCUUCUUUCCAGGCUACCUACUUCAUUUGCAGUAAAGCUGUUAGUGGACCCUUUCAUUUUGUCAAUUUUUGCCAUACUCUGUACAUUCCUCCUCCCUGCAGAUUUUGGUUCCAAAUGGCUUCGACACUUUGUGAGAAAUUGUCAUGUUCAGCUAAAAUAUUAAGAAACCUGAAAGGUUUCUGAUGCCCACCACCUGUGUUACUGUGCUCUAUAUGGAUAAGGGAAUGGUCUGAAAAUCCAUUCUCCCUAAAUUGAGCAGUGAGAGUCACAUAUUUCAUCAUUCAAUGAGCAUUGCAUAGUGAUCUAUCAAUCCUACUCCAGAAAUGACCAUUAGUCCAUGUAAAAUUUCUGCCGCUAGCCUUCAUAUUGGUAAGAUUUAGGGUAUCCAACACAUGUUGGAAGUCCCUAGUUUCAGCGUCUGCAACCUGUUGGCCCCAAGUUCUAUCUGUGUCAAAUAACGGGGCAAUAAAAUCCCCACAUAAACACCAUGGAUCAGUAAUGUU
This 764-nucleotide long non-coding RNA is filed under the name Capsicum annuum. RNAcentral describes it as "long non-coding RNA (CANN_LNC012256)". Lineage: Eukaryota; Viridiplantae; Streptophyta; Magnoliopsida; Solanales; Solanaceae. The record is from RNAcentral.